RNAcentral lists this transfer RNA (65 nucleotides) under Chrysomallon squamiferum (scaly-foot gastropod). RNAcentral's name for it is "tRNA-Gly". Lineage: Eukaryota; Metazoa; Mollusca; Gastropoda; Neomphalida; Peltospiridae. The record is from RNAcentral.
GCCUUUUGAGUAUGAAUAGUAUAGCUGCCUUCCAAGUAGCAGGAUUAACAACGUUAAAAAAGGCA